UGAUGGGAGUUGGAGUCUAUAAUUAGGGAUGAUGGGAAUUGGAGUCCAUAAUAAGGGAUGGUGGGACUUGGAGUCUCUAAUUAGGGAUGAUGGGAGUUGGAGUCUGUCUCUAAUUGGGGAUGAUGGGAGUUGGUGUCCAUAAUAAGGGAUGAUGGGACUUGGAGUCUAAGUCUAUAACUAGGGAUGAUGGGACUUGGAGUCAUCGACCAUAGAGUUUUGUUUUCCGUGACGGCGCUCUCAACGCUCUCCCUCUUCUUCUGCCAUUUUGUUUUCCAGCCGCGUGGUCCUCCCUUGCUCUGUCCAAGAGUACCAGGUGGGCCAGCUCUAUUCAGUGGCGGAGGCGAGCAAGAACGAAACUGGCGGCGGUGAAGGAAUCCAGGUCCUGACGAAUGAGCCUUACGAAAAGGACGGCGAAUGCGGGCAAUACACGCACAAGGUCUACCACCUUAAGAGCAAAGUCCCCGGAUUCGUGCGGAUGUUUGC
Sceloporus undulatus (fence lizard) is the source of this 483-nucleotide long non-coding RNA. RefSeq lists it as uncharacterized. The record is from RefSeq and is a predicted model, not a curated record. NCBI's taxonomy places the organism in Eukaryota, Metazoa, Chordata, Lepidosauria, Squamata, Phrynosomatidae. The transcript has 3 exons.